GGCCCGGUAGCUCAGACGGUAGAGCAGAGGAUUGAAAAUCCUUGUGUCGGCGGUUCGAUUCCGUCCCAGGCCACCA
RNAcentral lists this transfer RNA (76 nucleotides) under Comamonas testosteroni. RNAcentral's name for it is "tRNA-Phe". It matches the Rfam family "tRNA". Rfam says of the family: Transfer RNA (tRNA) molecules are approximately 80 nucleotides in length. The record is from RNAcentral. Lineage: Bacteria; Pseudomonadati; Pseudomonadota; Betaproteobacteria; Burkholderiales; Comamonadaceae.